AUUCUCUGGUUGGUUCUUCAAAGUGGGGUGAAAAUAAUUCCAUGGCAACUUUGCAGGAAGCUUCUUGAUUUAUAAUCUUCCGGUUCAAUCAAAGAGGCUCCGAAGAUAGGUUCUGCUACAGAGGUGAUGUUAACCUCUCAUAGCGGCCAGCACAGCCACCAGCAUGCGGCUAGCGGUCGGAACACCCAUCGGCAUGCGGCCGGCGGCCGACAUAACCACCAGCCGUGUGCUAGUGACUGA
This is a long non-coding RNA of Zingiber officinale, 240 nucleotides long. RefSeq lists it as uncharacterized. The record is from RefSeq and is a predicted model, not a curated record. The transcript has 2 exons. NCBI's taxonomy places the organism in Eukaryota, Viridiplantae, Streptophyta, Magnoliopsida, Zingiberales, Zingiberaceae.